AGAGUUUGAUCAUGGCUCAGAACGAACGCUGGCGGCAGGCCUAACACAUGCAAGUCGAGCGCUCGCCUUCGGGCGGGAGCGGCGGACGGGUGAGUAACGCGUGGGAACGUGCCCCUUGGUGCGGAACAACCGCUGGAAACGGCGGCUAAUACCGCAUGAUCCUCUUCGGAGGCAAAGAUUUAUCGCCAAGGGAUCGGCCCGCGUCGGAUUAGGUAGUUGGUGGGGUAACGGCCCACCAAGCCGACGAUCCGUAGCUGGUUUGAGAGGAUGAUCAGCCACACUGGGACUGAGACACGGCCCAGACUCCUACGGGAGGCAGCAGUGGGGAAUCUUGGACAAUGGGGGCAACCCUGAUCCAGCCAUGCCGCGUGAGCGAUGAAGGCCCUAGGGUUGUAAAGCUCUUUCACCCGCGAAGAUAAUGACGGUAGCGGGAGAAGAAGCCCCGGCUAACUCCGUGCCAGCAGCCGCGGUAAUACGGAGGGGGCUAGCGUUGUUCGGAAUUACUGGGCGUAAAGCGCGCGUAGGCGGAGAUCCAAGUCGGGGGUGAAAUCCCGGGGCUCAACCCCGGAACUGCCUCCGAUACUGGGUCUCUCGAGGACGGGAGAGGCGAGUGGAAUGCCGAGUGUAGAGGUGAAAUUCGUAGAUAUUCGGCGGAACACCCGUGGCGAAGGCGGCUCGCUGGUCCGUUUCUGACGCUGAGGC
RNAcentral lists this ribosomal RNA (702 nucleotides) under uncultured bacterium. RNAcentral's name for it is "bacterial SSU rRNA". It matches the Rfam family "Bacterial small subunit ribosomal RNA", at positions 8 to 752 of the family's 1533-position model. The record is from RNAcentral.